This 871-nucleotide ribosomal RNA is filed under the name Gyalecta ophiospora. RNAcentral's name for it is "SSU rRNA". It matches the Rfam family "Bacterial small subunit ribosomal RNA", at positions 370 to 1294 of the family's 1533-position model. The record is from RNAcentral. Lineage: Eukaryota; Fungi; Ascomycota; Lecanoromycetes; Ostropales; Gyalectaceae.
AAUAGCCUGACGGCUGAACCAGCAACUUGGAAGAAUGGAGCAGCGAAAGCUGAUUAUAUUGUAAUAAUAUAGCAUUAACUUUGUUAAAUAAAGUUCUAGGUAUGUUUAUGAUAAUGACAUGGUAUAUCUAUAAGUCUUGACCAAGUCACGUGCCAGCAGUCGCGGUAAUACGUGGAAGACAAGUGUUAUUCAUCUUUAAUUGGUUUAAAGGGUACGUAGACAGCUAAUAAAGCCUAUAAACUAUAGGGACUUAUUGAGCUAGAGUUUAUGUGAGGCGAGAACUGUAGUACGAUGAGCGUAGAGAUGAAAUUCUUUGAGGCCAUUUAGAGACUGAUAAAGGCGAAGGCGGCCGCUUAUGUAAAACUGACGUUAAGGGACGAAGGCUCGAUGAAAUAACAGGAUUAGGUACCCUAGCAUUGUGAGCAGACAAUGAUGAAUGUCAUAUAUAAGAUAAAUGUCUUGUAUAUAAAUGAAAGUGUAAGCAUUCCACCUCAAGAGUAAUAUGGCAACAUAUAAACUGAAAUCAUUAGACCGUUUCUGAAACCAGUAGUGAAGUAUGUUGUUUAAUUUGAUGAUCCACAAAAAACCUUACCACAAUUUGUAUAUUUACGAAAUUAUUUUGUAAUUACAAGCGUUGCACGGCUGUCUUCAGUUAAUGUUGUGAAAUUUUGGUUAGUUCCAUUAAAUUAACGUAAACCCUUGCUUUAUUUAAUAGUAUAAAGUAGUUCGCCGCUAUAUUGGUUGUGAUAUAAGGGAUUAAGACAAGUCAUCAUGGCCUAAAUAUUGUGGGCUAUAGACGUGCCACAUCAUCCAUAACAAAGAGAUGCAAAAUUGCGAAAUUAAGCUAAUCUUAUAAAAUUGGACAUAAUAU